Molecule: long non-coding RNA, 542 nt
Organism: Erigeron canadensis
Lineage: Eukaryota; Viridiplantae; Streptophyta; Magnoliopsida; Asterales; Asteraceae
Exons: 2
Source: RefSeq, a predicted model, not a curated record
GAUGUGGCAAUAUGCUCUUAAGUGACUUCUGCUUUUGAAACUUCCUUGUAGCCUGGUUGGCCGGGUAAUAUGGAUGAUGCAUGGUUCUUCCUGUAGGAGUUUGUUAUUUGAGUCAGUGUAUUGUUUUGGAGGAGGAAGUUGCAGUCAUCUGUAUGAAGUUAUAAUAGAUCUUAUAGAUACUUACGAAGCUUUUCGGGUUAGAGCAUCAUGUUUCAUAGACAUGACCCGGGAUGACUAUGGACUUCACGUCACUGUCACAUCAUUUUUUCAUCAUACCACGGACGCAUAACUUUUACCUUUGUAUUCUUCUACAUCUUAGGCACCCCUAUGAAAGUUGUUUGUGAAGUAAAACAGAACAUAAAAAUGAUGCCAUCCCCUCAGAAUAUGUCGGCCGGAAGCCGAGCGACUAGACAAGAACAUUGGGAUUUGGUCGAUGUGGUAUAUUUUUACUUCGAUCACGUGUGUUUCUGUAUUUGCUUUAACCAUGUUUUGAAUAUUUCAGGAAAUUCUUAAACACCAAAGAAGAAUUUUAAACCCCAAAA